This 497-nucleotide ribosomal RNA is filed under the name uncultured bacterium. RNAcentral's name for it is "partial 16S ribosomal RNA". It matches the Rfam family "Bacterial small subunit ribosomal RNA", at positions 28 to 507 of the family's 1533-position model. The record is from RNAcentral.
GACGAACGCUGGCGGCGUGCCUAAUACAUGCAAGUUGAGCGCUGAAGGUUGGUACUUGUACCAACUGGAUGAGCAGCGAACGGGUGAGUAACGCGUGGGGAAUCUGCCUUUGAGCGGGGGACAACAUGUGGAAACGAAUGCUAAUACCGCAUAAAAACUUUAAACACAAGUUUUAAGUUUGAAAGAUGCAAUUGCAUCACUCAAAGAUGAUCCCGCGUUGUAUUAGCUAGUUGGUGAGGUAAAGGCUCACCAAGGCGAUGAUACAUAGCCGACCUGAGAGGGUGAUCGGCCACAUUGGGACUGAGACACGGCCCAAACGCCUACGGGAGGCAGCAGUAGGGAAUCUUCGGCAAUGGACGAAAGUCUGACCGAGCAACGCCGCGUGAGUGAAGAAGGUUUUCGGAUCGUAAAACUCUGUUGGUAGAGAAGAACGUUGGUGAGAGUGGAAAGCUCAUCAAGUGACGGUAACUACCCAGAAAGGGACGGCUAACUACGUG